Gossypium arboreum is the source of this 346-nucleotide long non-coding RNA. RefSeq lists it as uncharacterized. NCBI's taxonomy places the organism in Eukaryota, Viridiplantae, Streptophyta, Magnoliopsida, Malvales, Malvaceae. The record is from RefSeq and is a predicted model, not a curated record. The transcript is spliced from 2 exons.
UCAUUUUAGAUCAAGAAAUACGAAAUCCGGACCUAGACUGGGGAAAUGCCAAGCUAGUAGACUAAAGCAAAUUAGUCAUCCACUUUUUGUAUACCGAGUGCCACCAAGCUAGUAUCGGGGAUCAAGGGACGUCGGAAGCAUCAAUCACAUUAUCACCUGAAACUUUGGUACAACUAGUUUAAUAUUUUGAUUUUGGCAUGUAUAGGGACUUGAAUCUUUUGUUUAGUGUAUUGUUAGUUUAGCCACAAGAGUUGGCUCAUAUGAUGGAUGUGAUAUUCAUUUUGUAUAGGCCAUUAAUGUUGGCUAAUAUUGAUUAUUAUUAAAUGCAUUUGAUGCAAAUUUCUCA